AACGAACGCUGGCGGCAGGCCUCAAACAUGCAAGUCUAGCGGGCAUAGCAAUAUGUCAGCGGCGGACGGGUGCGUAACACGUGGGAAUGUACCUAUUGGUUCGGAACAACGCAGGGAAACUUGCGCUAAUACCGAAUGUGCCCUUCGGGGGAAAGAUUUAUCGCCAAUGGAUCAGCCCGCGUUCGAUUAGCUAGUUGGUGAGGUAAUGGCUCACCAAGGCGACGAUCGAUAGCUGUUCUGAGAGGAAGAUCAGCCACACUGGGACUGAGACACGGCCCAGACUCCUACGGGAGGCAGCAGUUGGGAAUCUUGGACAAUGGGGGAAACCCUGAUCCAGCCAUGCCGCGUGAGUGAUGAAGGCCUUCGGGUUGUAAAACUCUUUCGACGGGGACGAGUAAUGACGGUACCCGUAGAAGAAGCUCCGGCUAACUUCGUGCCAGCAGCCGCGGUAAU
RNAcentral lists this ribosomal RNA (453 nucleotides) under uncultured bacterium. RNAcentral describes it as "bacterial SSU rRNA". It matches the Rfam family "Bacterial small subunit ribosomal RNA", at positions 29 to 524 of the family's 1533-position model. The record is from RNAcentral.